GUCCCUUUUUCUGUCGACGAACUACCAACCUAUCUCCUUUAUUUUAGUUGAACCUUUUGACCGCCGCCAAACAUAAACAUCUAGAAGGAUGGAAGACACCGAAAGGUCCUCACCAGAGUGGACCCCCCAGCAUGGGGAGAGGAAAGGGUGACCCGCAUGGAGAACGAUCACAACUGAUCUGGAGAGUCUUGCUAUGGACAGAGUGAAAUAGAGGUCUGCUGCUUUUGUCCAAUGCUGGCGAAAUAAGCCGCGGGUCCAGGUGCCGCGGUUCCGACCGUCAGGGACCGGGUAGAGGCUGCGAGGACCUCCGCUCUGCCGUCUCUACUGUAGACCGGGGUGUUGUUGUCGACAGCCACCUCGCUGUCCGCCGCCGGACCGCUGUCUUCACUGGUGUCUGGGCCGUCCUCCUGCGCCUCCGAGCCGCCGACUGCAUCGAUGAUCGGGGUGAAGUCCUCCGUCGAGCCGCCGACCGCUGGAACACAGGAUGACAUGCAGAUCCGCGUGUUCAACUACAACACUUUGGAGCGUGUUCACAUGUUUGAGGCCCACUCUGACUACAUCCGCUGCAUUGCUGUCCACCCCACACAGCCCUACAUCCUCACCAGCAGCGAUGAUAAGUUGAUCAAGCUGUGGGACUGGGAGAAGAAGUAGUCUUGCAGCCAGGUGUUUGAGGGCCACACGCACUAUGUGAUGCAAAUUGUCAUCAAUCCAAAAGACAACAAUCAGUUUUUUUUGUUUUUUUUAUUUAUUUAUUUUAAAUUAAAUCAACAUAGAAAAAACCACACGAUACACUUUCAACUAGUGCAUCAACCCAGAAAAAAAACCCUCCCUCCCCUAUUCACACUCACACACACCCACUCACACAAAAGGGGUUGUUUCUUUCUGCCAUCAAUACUCUGGUUUCCACA
This is a non-coding RNA of Nerophis lumbriciformis (worm pipefish), 908 nucleotides long. The record is from RefSeq and is a predicted model, not a curated record. Lineage: Eukaryota; Metazoa; Chordata; Actinopteri; Syngnathiformes; Syngnathidae.